GUGCCAGCAGCGGCGGUAAUACGUAGGGUGCGAGCGUUGUCCGGAAUUAUUGGGCGUAAAGGGCUCGUAGGCGGUUUGUCGCGUCGGGAGUGAAAACCCAGGGCUCAACCCUGGGCCUGCUUCCGAUACGGGCAGACUAGAGGUAUGCAGGGGAGAACGGAAUUCCUGGUGUAGCGGUGAAAUGCGCAGAUAUCAGGAGGAACACCGGUGGCGAAGGCGGUUCUCUGGGCAUUACCUGACGCUGAGGAGCGAAAGUGUGGGAGCGAACAGGAUUAGAUACCCUGGUAGUCCACACCGUAAACGUUGGGCGCUAGGUGUGGGACUCAUUCCACGAGUUCCGUGCCGCAGCUAACGCAUUAACGCCGCCCGCUGGGACGUACGGCCGC
This 386-nucleotide ribosomal RNA is filed under the name uncultured Marmoricola sp. RNAcentral describes it as "bacterial SSU rRNA". It matches the Rfam family "Bacterial small subunit ribosomal RNA", at positions 505 to 889 of the family's 1533-position model. Lineage: Bacteria; Bacillati; Actinomycetota; Actinomycetes; Propionibacteriales; Nocardioidaceae. The record is from RNAcentral.